GACGGGGGGGGCAAGUGUUCUUCGGAAUUACUGGGCGUAAAGCGCACGUAGGCGGACUGUUAAGUCGGGGGUGAAAUCCUGGGGCUCAACCUCAGAAUUGCCUCCGAUACUGGCAGUCUCGAGUGCGGGAGAGGUGAGUGGAAUUCCCAGUGUAGAGGUGAAAUUCGUAGAUAUUGGGAAGAACACCAGUGGCGAAGGCGGCUCACUGGCCCGUAACUGACGCUGAGGUGCGAAAGCGUGGGGAGCAAACAGG
This 253-nucleotide ribosomal RNA is filed under the name uncultured bacterium. Its description in RNAcentral is "partial 16S ribosomal RNA". It matches the Rfam family "Bacterial small subunit ribosomal RNA", at positions 524 to 776 of the family's 1533-position model. The record is from RNAcentral.